Molecule: ribosomal RNA, 254 nt
Filed under: uncultured bacterium
Lineage: Bacteria
Description: partial 16S ribosomal RNA
Rfam family: Bacterial small subunit ribosomal RNA
Source: RNAcentral
UACAGAGGGGGCAAGCGUUGUUCGGAAUUACUGGGCGUAAAGGGCGCGUAGGCGGCCUGUUAAGUCGAACGUGAAAUCCCCGGGCUCAACCCGGGGAACUGCGUCCGAUACUGGCAGGCUUGAAUUCGGGAGAGGGAUGUGGAAUUCCAGGUGUAGCGGUGAAAUGCGUAGAUAUCUGGAGGAACACCGGUGGCGAAGGCGGCAUCCUGGACCGAUAUUGACGCUGAUGCGCGAAAGCCAGGGGAGCAAACGGG